GAGACGACGUGCGUUUAGCCACCAUGGCGGUGAAUCCGCGUGAUAUGGACGGUUUUAUGCCGCUCCUGUCAACGAUGGACAUCAAGAAAAAAUUAAAUGUUGGUAGUUUAUUAUUAAAUUAUUUGGGCGACACCACCAAGAGUAUCGAGUGUCAAGACAUUGGACAGUUCAUCGAUAACAUCAUACCAUGGCUCAGCAACGGGAAUCCCAAGGUUGUCCAGAAUGGUUUGGAAGUCCUUACGUUCCUUGCGGAUCGAAUGGGUCACGACUUCAAGCCUUAUAUCUCCACCGUUAUUCAGCCAGCGAUAGACAGAUUAGGUGACAGCAAAGACGCCACGCGAGGAAAAGCGCAGUUGUUAUUGCUUAAGAUAAUGGAGAAAGGAUGCAUGACUCCUCAGCAACUUUUGGACAGACUGCGACCAGCCUUCAACCACAAGAACGCCAAAUUACGGGAAGAGGCAUUGAUUCUCUUAACGACGACGUUAAACGAACACGGAGCCGACGAGAUGAUGCUGUCCGGAGUAAUUCCAAGCAUCGUAAAACUGUUAUCGGACCCAUCCGAAAAAGUACGAGAAACGGCUUUAAACACGUUGGCGGAUAUCUACAGACACGUCGGGGAAAGAUUACGCGUCGAUUUGCAGAGAAAGCACAACGUACCGCACGCGAAGUUGUUGUUGUUGAUAGAGAAAUUCGAUCAGAUGAAAGCUGCAGGUGAUCUGUUACCCCUGGCAAUGUCCUCGGACGUUGGAAAAGGUGCAGAUGAGACAGAUAGAGCUAUUAAGUCUGCUCCUGUGAAAAGGUCAUGUGCUACUGUAAAAAGAGCACAAUUUGGUCCUGCAAAAGCUCCAUCUUCUGCUUUAGGUAUAACUCAGCCUGGUAAUACACCUUCCACGGUUCCAAGGGCAUCCACCGUCAAAAGAAACGUGUCGGUAAAAUCGACGUCAGGUCAGGCUGGAGCAGUCGACGAGGAAACUUUUCAUACAGCGUUCGAAGAUGUUCCACCUGUAAACUUAUUUUCGGCUAAAGAUUUGGAAGAACAAAUGAAAGCUAUCAAAGACAAUGUUGGCGAUGACAAGAAAGAUUGGAAACAAAGGACAGAAAACAUGAAAAAAUUAAGAGCUAUUGUUAAAGCAGGCGGUACAAACUAUGAGAACUUUCUAGAGCAUUUAAAAAGUAUGCAGAGAGCAUUUGAAGUAGCUUGUACCGACCUUAGAUCGCAAGUUGUAAGAGAAGCGUGUAUUACUUUAGCAUUUCUUAGUCAGGAACUAAAAAACAAAUUCGCUAGUUUCGGAGAGGCAGUUCUACUCACACUGAUGAACCUCAUACAAAAUAGUGCCAAGGUCGUGGCAACAGCUGGAGCUGUAGCUGUGAGGUUUAUUCUUCAAAAUACACAUUGCAGUCGGUUCGUGCCAAUUAUCACAUCAUGUUUAAGUAACAAAAGUAAAGACAUACGUCGAGCAUCGUGCGAGUAUCUGAAUUUAAUUUUACAAACGUGGCCUACUCAAAUAUUGCAGAAGCACGUAACGAUAUUACAGGACACGAUUAAAAAGGGUAUAGCAGACUCGGAUUCGGAAGCAAGAGCCUUUGCUAGAAAGUCAUAUUGGGCAUAUAAAGAUCAUUUUCCAGAACAAGCAGAAGCAUUACUCAACAGUCUUGAUACUGCAUAUAAACGCUCGUUGAUGUCUCUUAGCAACAGUGGUAGUAUUAGCAGUUUAAAUGUAGUCACAAGAUCGGCGAGUGUCAGCCCCAGAACAUCCAGACCAGUAAUGAGCGCCACAGAUCGUGGAACUCCAGGUGUCAGGUCUACUAGCGCGAUAGACCUGCAAGCCGCACAAAGAGCUAAGGCUAGAAUGAUGUACGCGAAUAUGAGCAGACAAAAAGCGUCUCUUCCGCGUCCCAGUAAAUCGCCAGAUACCACCGCUGUUGCUAGCCCAGAAAGAACAGCCAGAACAAGAACAAGAGUGUCCGGAGUGUCGCAAUCUCAGCCUAGCAGUAGAUCAGGAUCACCGUCGUCAAGGUUAAGUUACGCAACGUACAAUCGCGAAGGAGAAUCGUUAAUCGCAAGACCUAGACGGUUAUCUGGGCAUGGAAUCAGAAGUACUGGUAACAGUCGUGAACCCAGCCCGCAAAGAUUCGGAAUGGACAGAAGUUUUGCAAGCAAAAUACGCGGAAGGAGUUUGCACAUGUCUCCAACGGAUAGGCCGCAGUCUAGACCGGUUAUGGCGCAAAAGAUGUUACAACAAUCGCGCGAAGCAGAGUCGGCGUUAGCGGAUGCGCUCACUUUUGAAAGUAUUGAUAACUAUACAAGAACACCAAGAGGAAAGGGUGAUCACAGCGACGACAGUGAAACCAGUAGUAUAUGUUCAGAACGAAGCAUGGACAGCUUUAGACGACCAAACGAUUCGUUCUCAUGGAGUGGAUCUCAACAAAGAUUGUACCGUGAUAUAUGGGAUCAGUCUAUCCCAAAGGAUAUUAAGGAAAUUAUAGAAAAUUGUGCACAUAAACAUUGGGGAGAUAGAAAGGAGGGUUUGGUAGGAUUGCAACAUUUUCUAUCAAAUGGAAAUACGCUUACAGCUACGGAAUUGCGUAAAGUGACGGAUAUUUUUACAAAAAUGUUUAUGGAUUCUCAUACUAAGGUCUUUAGUUUAUUUUUGGAUACAUUGAAUGAAUUGGUAGCUACUCAUAGCGAAGAUCUCGGUGAUUGGCUUUAUGUGCUGUGUGCAAGACUCUUGAAUAAAUUAGGUACUGAUCUGCUCGCAUCGAUACAAGCAAAAAUUCAUAAAACGCUUGAUGUUGUCAGAGAAUGUUUCCCUGGAGAGCAACUUCUACCCGCUGUUAUGAGGUUUUUGACGGAUCCAACGCAAACACCAAAUUCUCGCGUAAAAAUAGCCACGCUUACGUUUAUCACUCAAAUCGCGGAAACAGCAGAACCUUCUGCGUUGACUAAUUCAGCAGGUACAGCGUUGGCAAGGUUACUUGAUUGGUCAAAUGACGUUAAAAGUCAGGAUGUUAGGAGACAUGCUCAAAACGCUGUCAUAUCAUUGUAUAAUUUAAAUCCUCCAAAAGUGACCAUGAUAUUAGCUGAAUUACCAAAGUUUUAUCAAGAAGCGGCAUUGCCACUAGUACAGAAUCAUUUAAGAAAGUCGUCUGGGUCUAGCAAUCCAGCGUCGCCAGGCACGCCGCCUCCCAGAGCACAGAGUUCACCAGCCCGUACGAAGGCUAAAGGUGAUAUCGAUAAUGCGGAUGAAAAUUUAGAAGAAGUUUACAAUACUUCUUACAGAUCGUUAAGGCGCACGACAGCAGAGAUUCAGAAUUAUGGAUUUGAACGUUUAGAAAGAGCAACCACUAGUAAAGAUAGCGGCAUUAGUAAUAUGGCUGACGUAGAAGAGAAAAUGGAAGGGUUAACGUUGUGUAAUUCGGGUCGAUCUUCCUCGGUGUCUUCGCCUACUCAGAGAGGACGAUCUGUUACGAAUAUUACGGUAAAUGGUUCGAGCGAUACAAUCGCAGGUGAUCUUAUUCUUCCUCAAGAAAAUAAUGGUUAUAAAACACAUGGAUCAUCGCCUGAUUCAAUAAAGAGACCAGAAAUUUUAGACAAUAUGAUUAAAACGUUACAGUCAAAAAUGACGCAAACCGAAGAAAAAGUAACAGCUCUGCAAGAGUUUCAAUUAUAUGUUCGAGAAGGAGAUGGCUUAUAUAUCAAACAAAAUUUUAAAAAACUGCUCAAAACAUUAUUAGAUAGUUUGACCAACGAUAGCAAGAAAAUGCAAGUAGAAGUUCUUCAAACGUUAAUCGACAUGCUAAAGUGUCCAGAACUUGUAGACAGUUUUUCUGUUUAUCCUGAACUACUCGUUCUGAAAGUAAUUAACGCGUACAAGUUGGACGAUCAAAAGCAGGAUUCUUCUUCCAGUAGUAGUAACUCGAGGUCUCCAGUUCUUUGGAUGGCAGAAAAGUGCGCCGCAACGAUAGCUAUGGUUCUAAAACCAGAACAAGUAAUUCAUCUGGUAUCGACUAUAAUAACCACGGAACCAUAUCCAUUGAAUAUGGGGGCAAUAAAAAUGCUUCACAAAGUUGUAGAACAUUGGGGUCGCGAUGCUAUAGAACCUCAUUUAUCGAAAGUAAUGCCUGGACUCAUAAAGGCUUACGACGAUACUGAGAGUGCAGUACGUAAAAGUGCCGUUUUCUGCAUGGUAGCGAUACACUUAGCAGUCGGCGAAGAGGUAUUGAAACCGCACCUCAUUUGUUUGUACACCAGCAAACUGAAGCUUCUGAAUAUUUAUAUACAACGCGCGCAACAGACAAACAGUCAGCCAGCGAGUCCACGUAGCAAUAGCAAAAAUUAACUAACAUCAAAUUCCGCGACGCUUAGGAUCGCGAUACUUAAAAGAUUUGCUCGUCUGGGUGCACGGCAUGAACGAAUGCUGGUUAGCUUCCUCAGUAAGUCCAAUCCGUGACGACUAUCAAGCAGUAAAUUAUAAAAGUUGAACGUUUCAAUACUGAGAUAGACUGAUCUGUAUGAUUUCACGACAAGUUGUAUGUAUGUAUGUGUGUGCGUGUGCGUGUGUGUACGGUACGUACGCGCAGUACGUGCUUGCGGUACGUGCGUGCGUGUUGCAGAAUGCGAGAGAGAACGAAAGACAUGAACUCCUGACAGUGAUGUUGCACGGAAACAGGUAGUGUGGAAAGUUACUUAUGCAUAAUAUGUUUUGUUUGCCAAAAAUUUAUACCUGUUACUGAAUAAGAGUUCCACACAUUUUUUAGCGCCGAUUAAUCAAAUUGCUUUAGAUAUAAGACUCUUUCCAUUCGAGGUUCGUGUAUUUUUUAUCGAUACGUUACAGUGUAAUGUUAAGUUGCAACAGUGUAUCUUGUGAAAAAAAAAGUUAAGAAAAAAAGAAAAAGGAAAUAUUUCAUUCUUCCGUUUAUCAUAUAAAGCUCGCGAAAACCAGUGUCGUGCCUCUCUUGUCCGUUUUGUGAUUUUAUAUAUUUUCAAUUUUGUUCGCUACUCGUUAAGAUAUAUAUUGUACAUAUUUAGGUAUUUCAGUGUAUUGUUACGAAUCUGUUAGUUGAUCACAAUGCUUCUCUAAAGGAAUGUGAUUCUCAAUAAAUAAAUAGUUAAUACACUUGGCGAAAGUUCGAGAAGAUGGGUGCGACAUCACUGCCGAGAGAAUCAUACCUUAUAAGCAUAAAUAAUGUACGUAAUGCCGAUCGUAUAUCGGCGUCAAACAGAGAAACAUUGUACGAAGUACGUUAUACGCUUGUUCAUCGAUUCGUAAACAUUGAUGAUAGCGUUGCACGUGGCAGUAGGUUGCUAUGCACAUUACAGUGAAUAAGUAAACGAAAGAAGUUCUAAUAGAGAGAUAUCCGAUGUGACGACGAGCGGUAUGCCUAGUAUAUCUGCUCUGUACUACGAUCAGUGAGAAUGAUAAUAAAUUUCACGGAGAAAUACUUUCUUUCGCAUUUCAGCAUUAAUCGAGAGACUGGCGCGAGUAUCGCGUAUUUGUUCGCAGCGUGUUGUACCAUAAACGUGAUUACCACGAGGACUUUUACAUGCACGUAGACAGAAAUCGAGAACGAAACUGUUAAUUUAUUUGUUCAAAAUCCAUGUGCUAGUCAGAUUUCCAAGGACGCACAAUAUAAACCGGAAGUUGCAGACGCAAUGGUCGGCACUUUUCAGACAACACAGGAGUUAAUUACUUGGAGAAAAGAAGGGAAGAAAGAGGGAGAGAGUCUGCGAGAGAAUGCGAGAGAGCGAAUGAGGAGAGAUUUAAUACGACAAAAAUCAGCAGAAGUUAGACUAGAAAUGAGAUUAACUUGGAACUAAUGUUAAUAUUUAAACUAUUCGUCACGUUGCCAAUAAUUAAACGAACGCUAAAUCAAAGCUAAGUAAAUCGAGAUAGCAAGAUAAUUUCACGAUGAAAUUGAAAAUGAAUCGUCAAAGUGUUACAAGAAGUUAACAUCACCGUACUAUUCUAU
This 5970-nucleotide unclassified non-coding RNA is filed under the name Megachile rotundata (alfalfa leafcutting bee). Its description in RNAcentral is "cLIP-associating protein 1-A, transcript variant X15". The record is from RNAcentral. Lineage: Eukaryota; Metazoa; Arthropoda; Insecta; Hymenoptera; Megachilidae.